UUGACCUCGGAUCAGGUAGGGAUACCCGCUGAACUUAAGCAUAUCAAUAAGCGGAGGAAAAGAAACCAACAGGGAUUGCCUUAGUAACGGCGAGUGAAGCGGCAAUAGCUCAAAUUUGAAAGCUGGCCCCUUCGGGGUCCGCGUUGUAAUUUGUAGAGGAUGAUUCGGCGAGGGCUCCCGUCUAAGUCCCUUGGAACAGGGCGUCAUAGAGGGUGAGAAUCCCGUAUGUGAUGGGCUGCCUUAGCCAUGUGAAUCUCCUUCGACGAGUCGAGUUGUUUGGGAAUGCAGCUCUAAAUGGGAGGUAAAUUUCUUCUAAAGCUAAAUACCGGCCAGAGACCGAUAGCGCACAAGUAGAGUGAUCGAAAGAUGAAAAGCACUUUGGAAAGAGAGUUAAAAAGUACGUGAAAUUGUUGAAAGGGAAGCGCUUGCAGCCAGACUUGUCCGCAGUUGCUCAGCUUGUCUCCUGACAGGCGUACUCUUCUGCGGCCAGGCCAGCAUCAGUUCGGGCGGUCGGAUAAAGACCUGGGGAAUGUAGCUCCUCUCGGGGAGUGUUAUAGCCCUGGGUGCAAUGCGGCCAGCCUGGACUGAGGAUCUCGCUCGGCUAGGAUGCUGC
This 613-nucleotide ribosomal RNA is filed under the name Neofusicoccum parvum. RNAcentral describes it as "eukaryotic LSU rRNA". It matches the Rfam family "Eukaryotic large subunit ribosomal RNA", at positions 1 to 629 of the family's 3401-position model. Lineage: Eukaryota; Fungi; Ascomycota; Dothideomycetes; Botryosphaeriales; Botryosphaeriaceae. The record is from RNAcentral.